ACAAAUCUAUGAAAGCAGUCAACACUGACGGCACGGAAACAUUGAAUAGCUUUUUAUUUACCGCCGAAAUAAUUACACUUGAGCGAAGUUUCUUCAGACUACAAAUAGAGUUAAGUCCUUGUGGUUGCAGUCUUCAGUAGCUGCUGCUUUGCUGCUUAUCGUUUUAUGUCCUGAACUAUUCAACUGUAAUGAUAAAAGAUGUUCUUUGUGGCUCCAGAAGAUGCUUAUGACUGACUGAAUUCAACCUGAUGCUAUAAUUCUAUGUCCUAUUGCUGAUGAACUCUAUUACUUG
Uloborus diversus is the source of this 292-nucleotide long non-coding RNA. RefSeq lists it as uncharacterized. The record is from RefSeq and is a predicted model, not a curated record. NCBI's taxonomy places the organism in Eukaryota, Metazoa, Arthropoda, Arachnida, Araneae, Uloboridae. The transcript is spliced from 3 exons.